Molecule: ribosomal RNA, 468 nt
Filed under: uncultured bacterium
Lineage: Bacteria
Description: partial 16S ribosomal RNA
Rfam family: Bacterial small subunit ribosomal RNA (bases 13-373)
Source: RNAcentral
GACGAACGCUGGCGGCGUGCUUAACACAUGCAAGUCGAACGGAAAGGCCCUGCUUUUGUGGGGUGCUCGAGUGGCGAACGGGUGAGUAACACGUGAGUAACCUGCCCUUGACUUUGGGAUAACUUCAGGAAACUGGGGCUAAUACCGGAUAGGAGCUCCUGCUGCAUGGUGGGGGUUGGAAAGUUUCGGCGGUUGGGGAUGGACUCGCGGCUUAUCAGCUUGUUGGUGGGGUAGUGGCUUACCAAGGCUUUGACGGGUAGCCGGCCUGAGAGGGUGACCGGGGACAGGGGGAGGGAGGUGGGGCCAAGACGCGGACGGGAGGCGGCAGCGGGGGAUGUGGGAGAAGGGGCGGGGGGCUGAGGCAGCCACUCCGGGCGGGGGAGGAGGGUCGGCGGGGGGGAAGGAGAAGUAGCCAGUGACGAACAGUGAGUGACGGGAAGGGGUAAAGAAGCACAGGCUCACUACGUG